UUAAGCGAACAAGCGUACACGGUGGAUGCCCUGGCAGUCAGAGGCGAUGAAGGACGUGCUAAUCUGCGAAAAGCGCCGGUAAGGUGAUAUGAACCGUUAUAACCGGCGAUGUCCGAAUGGGGAAACCCGGUGCACUUCGGUGCAUCAUCGUUAGCUGAAUACAUAGGCUAACGAGGCGAACCGGGGGAACUGAAACAUCUAAGUACCCCGAGGAAAAGAAAUCAACCGAGAUUCCCCCAGUAGCGGCGAGCGAACGGGGAACAGCCCAGAGCCUGAAUCAGCUUGUGUGUCAGUGGAACGGUCUGGAAAGGCCGGCGAUACAGGGUGACAGCCCCGUACACGAAGGCACACAGGCUGUGAGCUCGAUGAGUAGGGCGGGACACGUGAUAUCCUGUCUGAAGAUGGGGGGACCAUCCUCCAAGGCUAAAUACUCCUGACUGACCGAUAGUGAACCAGUACCGUGAGGGAAAGGCGAAAAGAACCCCGGCGAGGGGAGUGAAACAGAACCUGAAACCGUGUACGUACAAGCAGUGGGAGCCUUCGUAAGAGGGUGACUGCGUACCUUUUGUAUAAUGGGUCAGCGACUUAUAUUCUGUAGCAAGGUUAACCGUAUAGGGGAGCCGAAGGGAAACCGAGUCUUAACCGGGCGUUAAGUUGCAGGGUAUAGACCCGAAACCCGGUGAUCUAGCCAUGGGCAGGUUGAAGGUUGGGUAACACUAACUGGAGGACCGAACCGACUAAUGUUGAAAAAUUAGCGGAUGACCUGUGGCUGGGGGUGAAAGGCCAAUCAAACCGGGAGAUAGCUGGUUCUCCCCGAAAGCUAUUUAGGUAGCGCCUCGUGAACUCAUCUCCGGGGGUAGAGCACUGUUUCGGCUAGGGGGCCAUCCCGGCUUACCAACCCGAUGCAAACUGCGAAUACCGGAGAAUGUUAUCACGGGAGACACACGGCGGGUGCUAACGUCCGUCGUGAAGAGGGAAACAACCCAGACCGCCAGCUAAGGUCCCAAAGUCAUGGUUAAGUGGGAAACGAUGUGGGAAGGCCCAGACAGCCAGGAUGUUGGCUUAGAAGCAGCCAUCAUUUAAAGAAAGCGUAAUAGCUCACUGGUCGAGUCGGCCUGCGCGGAAGAUGUAACGGGCUAAACCAUGCACCGAAGCUGCGGCAGCGACGCUUAUGCGUUGUUGGGUAGGGGAGCGUUCUGUAAGCCUGCGAAGGUGUGCUGUGAGGCAUGCUGGAGGUAUCAGAAGUGCGAAUGCUGACAUAAGUAACGAUAAAGCGGGUGAAAAGCCCGCUCGCCGGAAGACCAAGGGUUCCUGUCCAACGUUAAUCGGGGCAGGGUGAGUCGACCCCUAAGGCGAGGCCGAAAGGCGUAGUCGAUGGGAAACAGGUUAAUAUUCCUGUACUUGGUGUUACUGCGAAGGGGGGACGGAGAAGGCUAUGUCGGCCGGGCGACGGUUGUCCCGGUUUAAGCGUGUAGGCUGACUUUCCAGGCAAAUCCGGAAAGUUAAGGCUGAGGCGUGAUGACGAGGCACCACGGUGCUGAAGUGACAAAUGCCCUGCUUCCAGGAAAAGCCUCUAAGCAUCAGGUAACAUCAAAUCGUACCCCAAACCGACACAGGUGGUCAGGUAGAGAAUACCAAGGCGCUUGAGAGAACUCGGGUGAAGGAACUAGGCAAAAUGGUGCCGUAACUUCGGGAGAAGGCACGCUGACAUGUAGGUGAAGCCCCUGCGGGUGGAGCUGAAGUCAGUCGAAGAUACCAGCUGGCUGCAACUGUUUAUUAAAAACACAGCACUGUGCAAACACGAAAGUGGACGUAUACGGUGUGACGCCUGCCCGGUGCCGGAAGGUUAAUUGAUGGGGUUAUCGCAAGAGAAGCUCCUGAUCGAAGCCCCGGUAAACGGCGGCCGUAACUAUAACGGUCCUAAGGUAGCGAAAUUCCUUGUCGGGUAAGUUCCGACCUGCACGAAUGGCGUAAUGAUGGCCAGGCUGUCUCCACCCGAGACUCAGUGAAAUUGAACUCGCUGUGAAGAUGCAGUGUACCCGCGGCAAGACGGAAAGACCCCGUGAACCUUUACUACAGCUUGACACUGAACAUUGAGCCUUGAUGUGUAGGAUAGGUGGGAGGCUUUGAAGCGUGGACGCCAGUCUGCGUGGAGCCGACCUUGAAAUACCACCCUUUAAUGUUUGAUGUUCUAACCUGGCGCCAUAAUCUGGCGUGGGGACAGUGUCUGGUGGGUAGUUUGACUGGGGCGGUCUCCUCCCAAAGUGUAACGGAGGAGCACGAAGGUCAGCUAAUCCUGGUCGGACAUCAGGAGGUUAGUGCAAUGGCAUAAGCUGGCUUGACUGCGAGAGUGACGGCUCGAGCAGGUGCGAAAGCAGGUCAUAGUGAUCCGGUGGUUCUGUAUGGAAGGGCCAUCGCUCAACGGAUAAAAGGUACUCCGGGGAUAACAGGCUGAUACCGCCCAAGAGUUCAUAUCGACGGCGGUGUUUGGCACCUCGAUGUCGGCUCAUCACAUCCUGGGGCUGAAGUAGGUCCCAAGGGUAUGGCUGUUCGCCAUUUAAAGUGGUACGCGAGCUGGGUUUAGAACGUCGUGAGACAGUUCGGUCCCUAUCUGCCGUGGGCGCUGGAGAAUUGAGGGGGGCUGCUCCCAGUACGAGAGGACCGGAGUGGACGCAUCACUGGUGUUCGGGUUGUCAUGCCAAUGGCACUGCCCGGUAGCUAAAUGCGGAAGAGAUAAGUGCUGAAAGCAUCUAAGCACGAAACUUGCCCCGAGAUGAGUUCUCCCUGAGACUAUAAGUCUCCUGAAGGAACGUUGAAGACGACGACGUUGAUAGGCCGGGUGUGUAAGCGCAGCGAUGCGUUGAGCUAACCGGUACUAAUGAACCGUGAGGCUUAACCUU
RNAcentral lists this ribosomal RNA (2900 nucleotides) under Cronobacter sakazakii. RNAcentral describes it as "bacterial LSU rRNA". It matches the Rfam family "Bacterial large subunit ribosomal RNA". The record is from RNAcentral. Lineage: Bacteria; Pseudomonadati; Pseudomonadota; Gammaproteobacteria; Enterobacterales; Enterobacteriaceae.